UGCGUCAUGGUGGUGGGAGCCCUUGAGAGGGCAGAACCAUUAGCGGGUGGGAGGUGACCACUGUCAUCUGAAAGGGAUUCUAAGCUCAGCUCCUGGAACUCCGGACAAACAACUACCAGCUUUCAGAUGAACUACGCAAGAAUGGUGUUGAACUCACCAGUCUUCGACAGAAGGUCGCCUACUUGGAUAAGGAGUUCAGCAAAGCUCAGAAGGCACUGAGCAAGAGCAAGAAAGCUCAGGAAGUCGAGGUAUUGCUGAGUGAAAAUGAGAUGCUGCAGGCAAAGCUGCACAGCCAGGAGGAGGACUUCCGUUUGCAGAACAGCACACUAAUGGCCGAGUUCAGCAAGCUCUGCAGCCAGAUGGAACAGCUGGAGCAAGAGAACCAGCAACUGAAGGAGGGGGCUGCAGGAGCAGGGGUUGCCCAAGCUGGGCCCCUCGUGGAUGGGGAGCUGCUGAGGCUACAGGCUGAAAACACAGCCUUGCAGAAGAACGUGGCAGCCCUGCAGGAACGCUAUGGGAAAGAAGCCGGGAAGUUCUCAGCUGUCAGUGAGGGCCAGGGGGAUCCCCCAGGGGGCCUGGCCCCCACCGUCCUGGCCCCCAUGCCGUUGGCAGAGGUGGAGCUGAAAUGGGAAAUGGAGAAAGAGGAGAAGAGAUUGCUCUGGGAACAGCUGCAAGGCUUAGAGAGCUCAAAGCAGGCCGAAACAUCCAGGCUGCAGGAGGAACUUGCUAAGCUCUCCGAGAAACUGAAAAAGAAACAAGAAAGUUUUUGCCGUCUGCAGACAGAAAAGGAGACUCUGUUUAAUGACAGCAGGAACAAGAUUGAGGAAUUACAACAACGGAAGGAAGCUGAUCACAAAGCCCAGUUGGCUCGAACCCAGAAGCUGCAGCAGGAACUUGAGGCUGCCAAUCAGAGCUUGGCAGAGCUGAGAGAUCAGCGGCAGGGGGAGCGCCUGGAACAUGCAGCAGCUUUGCGGGCCCUACAAGAUCAGGUAUCCAUCCAGAGUGCAGAUGCACAGGAACAAGUGGAAGGGCUUUUGGCUGAGAACAAUGCCUUGAGGACUAGCCUGGCUGCCCUGGAGCAGAUCCAAACAGCAAAGACCCAAGAACUGAAUAUGCUCCGGGAACAGACCACUGGGCUGGCAGCUGAGUUGCAGCAGCAGCAGGCUGAGUACGAGGACCUUAUGGGACAGAAAGAUGACCUCAACUCCCAGCUCCAGGAGUCAUUACGGGCCAAUAGUCGACUGCUGGAACAACUUCAAGAAAUAGGGCAGGAGAAGGAGCAGUUGACCCAGGAAUUACAGGAGGCUCGGAAGAGUGCGGAGAAGCGGAAGGCCAUGCUGGAUGAGCUAGCAAUGGAAACGCUGCAAGAGAAGUCCCAGCACAAGGAAGAGCUGGGAGCAGUUCGUCUACGGCAUGAGAAGGAGGUGCUGGGGGUGCGUGCCCGCUAUGAGCGUGAGCUCCGAGAGCUGCAUGAAGACAAGAAGCGUCAGGAGGAGGAGCUCCGUGGGCAGAUCCGGGAGGAGAAGGCCCGGACACGGGAGCUGGAGACUCUCCAGCAGACAGUGGAAGAACUUCAAGCUCAGGUACAUUCCAUGGAUGGAGCCAAGGGCUGGUUUGAACGGCGCUUGAAGGAAGCCGAGGAAUCCCUGCAGCAGCAGCAGCAGGAACAAGAGGAAGCCCUCAAGCAGUGUCGGGAGCAGCACGCUGCCGAGCUGAAGGGCAAGGAGGAGGAGCUACAGGAUGUACGGGAUCAGCUCGAGCAGGCCCAGGAGGAGCGGGACUGCCACCUGAAGACCAUUAGCAGCCUGAAGCAGGAGGUGAAGGACACAGUGGAUGGGCAGAGGAUCCUGGAGAAGAAGGGCAGUGCUGCGCUCAAGGACCUCAAGCGGCAGCUGCAUUUGGAGCGGAAACGGGCAGAUAAGCUGCAGGAGCGACUGCAGGACAUCCUCACUAACAGCAAGAGCCGCUCAGGCCUUGAGGAGCUGGUUCUCUCAGAGAUGAACUCACCAAGCCGGACCCAGACAGGGGACAGCAGUAGCAUCUCCUCCUUCAGCUACCGGGAGAUCUUGCGGGAAAAGGAGAGCUCGGCUGUUCCAGCCAGGUCCUUAUCCAGCAGCCCUCAAGCCCAGCCCCCUCGGCCAGCAGAGCUGUCAGAUGAGGAAGUGGCUGAGCUCUUUCAGCGGCUGGCAGAGACACAGCAGGAGAAAUGGAUGCUGGAGGAGAAGGUGAAGCACCUGGAAGUGAGCAGUGCUUCCAUGGCAGAGGACCUCUGCCGGAAGAGCGCCAUCAUUGAGACCUACGUCAUGGACAGCCGGAUCGAUGUGUCUGUGGCAGCAGGCCACACAGACCGCAGCGGGCUGGGCAGCGUCCUGAGAGACCUAGUGAAGCCAGGUGACGAGAACCUUCGGGAGAUGAACAAGAAGCUGCAGAACAUGCUGGAGGAGCAGCUCACCAAGAAUAUGCACUUGCACAAGGAUAUGGAAGUUCUGUCCCAGGAAAUUGUGCGGCUCAGCAAGGAGUGCGUGGGGCCUCCUGACCCAGACCUAGAGCCAGGAGAAACCAGCUAAAGACCUGCAGGCUGCACCCACCUCCUCCCCUUCCUACCCCCUAGGAUGCUAUUCCCUUGGGCUGUGGUGGAAAAAUGAGGGCUGGAGCCAAAAUCAAAUAGCUUGGGAGACUGGACAUUAAAGGGGCUAGAGGCCUGAUGGUUAGUGUUAAUGAUCCUGUCUUAGGGCAGAGGCCACCAGGGAGUGGGGAUCCUGAGGGAAGGGGCAGGGAUUUCUCCUUCUUCUUGGUCCUGGCUCCCAAGGGCUUCUGUCUUCAUCUCUGCAUGAGCUCUCCUUCCCAGAGACCAACUCUUUUUAUUUUAUUUUAUUUUAUUUUUUAAUUUAUGUCUGGAGCCUGGCUACUCUGCAUUUGGGAUUGGGGAUGC
This 2932-nucleotide unclassified non-coding RNA is filed under the name Homo sapiens (human). Its description in RNAcentral is "GRIP1 associated protein 1 (ENSG00000292219.1)". Lineage: Eukaryota; Metazoa; Chordata; Mammalia; Primates; Hominidae. The record is from RNAcentral.